RNAcentral lists this ribosomal RNA (694 nucleotides) under uncultured bacterium. RNAcentral's name for it is "bacterial SSU rRNA". It matches the Rfam family "Bacterial small subunit ribosomal RNA", at positions 32 to 715 of the family's 1533-position model. The record is from RNAcentral.
AACGCUAGCUACAGGCUUAACACAUGCAAGUCGAGGGGCAGCAUGAUUGAAGCUUGCUUCAAUUGAUGGCGACCGGCGCACGGGUGAGUAACACGUAUCCAACCUUCCGUACACUCAGGGAUAGCCUUUCGAAAGAAAGAUUAAUACCUGAUGGUAUCUUAAGCACACAUGUAAUUAAGAUUAAAGAUUUAUCGGUGUACGAUGGGGAUGCGUUCCAUUAGGUAGUAGGCGGGGUAACGGCCCACCUAGCCUACGAUGGAUAGGGGUUCUGAGAGGAAGGUCCCCCACAUUGGAACUGAGACACGGUCCAAACUCCUACGGGAGGCAGCAGUGAGGAAUAUUGGUCAAUGGGCGCGAGCCUGAACCAGCCAAGUAGCGUGAAGGAUGAAGGUCCUACGGAUUGUAAACUUCUUUUAUAAGGGAAUAAAGUCACCUACGUGUAGGUGUUUGUAUGUACCUUAUGAAUAAGCAUCGGCUAACUCCGUGCCAGCAGCCGCGGUAAUACGGAGGAUGCGAGCGUUAUCCGGAUUUAUUGGGUUUAAAGGGAGCGUGGACGGGUCGUUAAGUCAGCUGUGAAAGUUUGAGGCUCAACCUUAAAAUUGCAGUUGAUACUGGCGUCCUUGAGUACGGUUGAGGCAGGCGGAAUUCGUGGUGUAGCGGUGAAAUGCUUAGAUAUCACGAAGAACUCCGAUUG